RNAcentral lists this transfer RNA (60 nucleotides) under Andrena krigiana. RNAcentral's name for it is "tRNA-Leu". Lineage: Eukaryota; Metazoa; Arthropoda; Insecta; Hymenoptera; Andrenidae. The record is from RNAcentral.
UAUGGCAGAAUAGUGCAAUGGAUUUAAGCCCCGUACAUAAAAUAAUAAUUUUUAUUAAAA